Molecule: long non-coding RNA, 264 nt
Filed under: Mytilus galloprovincialis (Mediterranean mussel)
Lineage: Eukaryota; Metazoa; Mollusca; Bivalvia; Mytilida; Mytilidae
Source: RNAcentral
UACCAUUUGAUUUUUAUGGGGGGGGGGGCUAGGAUGAAAAAUUUUGUCCUGCAUUUUUUUUUAGCUGUAAUCUCUGUCCUGCCUUUUUAUUUUUCACUCUGUUCGGUCCUGCCUUUUUUUUUUUUUUAGUUUAUCCUGACUUUUUUUUACCUAAAUUGUCGUCCUGACUUUUGUUUUUUGCAAGAGUCUCAUCCUGCCUUUUUUUUUACUCAAAACUCCUGUCCUGCCUAUUUUUUCAAAUUUCAUCCUAGCCCCCCCCCCCCC